UGCAGAGGUCUCAAGCGUUGUUCGGAUUCAUUGGGCGUAAAGGGUGUGUAGGUGGCGCGCUAAGUCGGGUGUGAAAUUUCGGAGCUUAACUCCGAAACUGCAUUCGAUACUGGCGUGCUUGAGGACUGGAGAGGAGACUGGAAUUCAUGGUGUAGCAGUGAAAUGCGUAGAGAUCAUGAGGAAGACCAGUGGCGAAGGCGGGUCUCUGGACAGUUCCUGACACUGAGACACGAAGGCCAGGGGAGCAAACGGG
Molecule: ribosomal RNA, 253 nt
Filed under: uncultured bacterium
Lineage: Bacteria
Description: partial 16S ribosomal RNA
Rfam family: Bacterial small subunit ribosomal RNA
Source: RNAcentral